This 254-nucleotide ribosomal RNA is filed under the name uncultured bacterium. RNAcentral's name for it is "partial 16S ribosomal RNA". It matches the Rfam family "Bacterial small subunit ribosomal RNA", at positions 524 to 776 of the family's 1533-position model. The record is from RNAcentral.
UACGUAGGGGGCAAGCGUUGUCCGGAUUUAUUGGGCGUAAAAGGCUUGUAGGUGGCCACGCCAAGUCGGAUGUGAAAUCUCCCGGCUCAACUGGGAGGGGUCAUUCGAUACUGGCGGGCUCGAGGCCGGUAGGGGGAAGCGGAAUUCCCGGUGUAGCGGUGAAAUGCGUAGAUAUUGGGAGGAACACCAGUGGCGAAGGCGGCUACCUGGACCGGUUCUGACGCUGAGGCGCGAAAGCGUGGGUAGCAAACAGG